CGCUUGUUUUCAUGUGUACGUCUGCUGGAGUGGUGGAUGGACGUUACUACUCCGGAGUGCGGAUAGCUAUCAACCUAUCAUAAAUAUCAUAAUGGCAAAAAAAAAGAAAGUGUGUAUCUCAAACAGUAAGAAAAAUGAUGCUGGCAGUGUUGCAACAGUUCGCACAGAACUCCAGGUUUCAAGUCCCAUAUCUGUUGAUGGUCCAUUAGAUGAGGUGGUGUGCAAUGAAGAGACAAAAGUUGACAUUCCAUUUAAGAACAAAUCUUACGAAGCAAAAAAAUCAAAUAAAAGAAAAAUCUGGAAGGGACUCAAACAGUUAAUAACACAAGAAAGAUCUCAAGAGUGGGUUACAGAAGCUGUAUUUUACAGCAGCAUUGAUGCACCACCAUCUUUUAAACCUGCUAAGAAGUACUCAGAUUUAUCUGGAUUGCUGGGGAAUUAUACAGAUCCACACACUCAUCUAAGAUUUGCUCAAGCUGAUGAAUAUAGAACAAUCCAAACAUUACCAAGUGAUAUUGUUUCUGGUUACUUGACUCUUAGAAAGGCAUCAAAUCCAGUUGGAUAAUAAAUUUGGUGGAUUGACAAAAACCUUGCAAUCUUGAAGAUUUCAUUUAUUUGAUUAUUGGAUAAAUCACAAUCGGCAAGUCCCAAACCAUUGUUUCGAUAUCCGUAACCUUCGGUGGCUCCCAAGCAGUUUCGCCAUU
Molecule: RNA transcript, 704 nt
Organism: Daphnia pulicaria
Lineage: Eukaryota; Metazoa; Arthropoda; Branchiopoda; Diplostraca; Daphniidae
Gene name: INO80 complex subunit C-like
Exons: 7
Source: RefSeq, a predicted model, not a curated record